Molecule: unclassified non-coding RNA, 176 nt
Filed under: soil metagenome
Description: partial contains 5.8S ribosomal RNA, internal transcribed spacer 2, and large subunit ribosomal RNA
Source: RNAcentral
AAGACUAUAGACCUGCGGAGUACCUGCGGAAGGAUCAUUACUGAAUGGCCCAAAAGGCCUUCAACCUUCAAACCUGUGGAAGCAAAAUGUGCUUCGGCGCUUUGGCGCCGCAUUUAUGCAGAAUAGCUUGUGUCUGAAUAAAUACAAAACAUUAAAACUUUUAACAAUGGAUCUCU